Molecule: non-coding RNA, 6090 nt
Organism: Equus caballus (horse)
Lineage: Eukaryota; Metazoa; Chordata; Mammalia; Perissodactyla; Equidae
Source: RefSeq, a predicted model, not a curated record
UUUCUCUCCCCUCCUCUCUCCGCCCUCGCGCGCGCUCUUUCCUCCUCUCCCAGGGUUCAUUCACGUUAUUAGAGCGAAGGAAGCCGGGGCACGGGUUCCCCAGGAGGACUGAAGGGAAACCGCGUUUCCAGCCGGCUCACUUACCCAACCCAGGACACUCAGCUCCUCUUAGACGGCCCUGGGGACUCUUCCAUAUGUGGAGAGUGUGUGUGUGCGGUGUCCCUCUUUUCCCCGUGUACAUAUCCGUGCCUUUUCCUGAAGAUGAAUGUAUAGGCGUGAGUGUGGGAAGUGGGAGUGUUCAGGUCAGAUUUCCAGAAGCCCCAGAUGUGGGUCACAGCUGGGAGACCUUGCAGGCCAAGCCAGGCCCCGGCCACCCUCCUCCCACACCCAGGUGGCUCUGCGCCCAGCGGCAGCUCCUCCAGAUGCCCCGCAGGGCCUGGGAGCACCCAGACUUUGGGGCUGAGGGAGAAGGGAGAUGUCAGCCCGAGGUCCUUGGGGAGGAACACAGGCUCUGUUUUAUAAGGAAUGGUCAAGCUGUGAUUGAAACUGGGGCUCUCCUCCAUUAUUACGUUUCUGAUGGUUUAUUGCUGCGAGUCCCAAACACCAAUUGUACUAGAUUCAAACCUCCCGGCCCCCGGCUGCUUCCCUCUUUCUCCCAGCUCCCUCUUCAAUACCUUUAUUUCUUUUUGCCUUUCGCUCUACUCGAGCUUAACUGGCUUUCCCUCACCUCCUCCCCUUUAUCGCCAGCCUCUGCCUCCAGCCCUGCUGGCUUCACUUAAUUGCCUUUGCUCCUGGCAUGAUCCCAACCUGGACACACUCCCUCUCCUCGCAGCCAAUCCCGGCUCCUCCUCCUUCAAAACCCAGCUCCAAACUCUUCCUUCCAAGAGGCCCUCAGAGACCGGCACCUGGGUGUCCAGCAUGCCUUCACUUCGUGCCUCCCCAAAGCUCCUGUUGUUGGCCUCCCUGAUGGGCGUGCUGUGUGAUGCAGCACUGGACCCCCGGGAAAGUGAAAGAGAUAUGUGGAGAGCUGCUAUUCUUCUCGCAAGAUGUAGCUUAAAUAUCCCCUCCUUUGUGGCACCUUACCUGGCCCCCACUACCCAGAGGAAAGGAAUUACCCCGUGCUGGAGUUACUGCUGGCUCUCUCACAAGACUGUGAGCCUUUCCCAUAGCUGACGUGUACAAGUGCUUAGGAAAUAUUUGCUGAGUGAGAGGUAUUUCUUGCCCCCUGGAAAAUUAUAGUCUGAUUGGGGGAAAUAGAGCAUACAAAAAGAAGAGGAAAAAAUUCCAGGAUAAUAUAGCCCAAGGACCAGACUGGCUGCAUUAAUCAGCACUUGUGGGCCCCUCCUCCUGCCUCUUGGGUGUCUGUUCUGCUUCCUCAAAGUCUCAAAGGGCAAGAGUCAUCACCUCUAUUUUCCUUUCACCCACCUGCCGCCUGGUCCGGGGUUCUGCACACAGCAGGUGCCCAGUGUGUGCCUGAAGGUGUGCACCAGGCAUGAGAAGGCUUGCUCUGGCUCCAAACAGUGCUGCCCACCUCUGUCCCUAAUAUUCACAAGGAGAAAUUCUGGGUUCUGUCCUCAGAAGCUCUGAAAAAGGUGGAUCUCAAGCUUUUCUUGCUUUUUUCAGGAGUAAAUCUUUGCUUCCAAUUAAUCUUAAACAGAAGCCCGGCGUAAAUAAACCCGGUUUGCUGUCAGUCAGCCCUGUAGAUAAGAGCUGGCAUGGCUCUGGGUGAAUAGGGGGCCCAGAGGACCUGUUCCCACCCACCCGCACGACCCCUGCAGCCCCCAGAGCACCUCUGUGGGUCUAGGGCUCCAUGAAACAUGAUGUGAAAAUGUCAUCCUGAGCCAGCUCCCGGGUCACUUGGGGACAUCCCCUCCACCCUGUCCUGCUUGCAGCCUUCUUCAGGGACUUUGAGGGAAAGAAAUGAAAGCAAGAUGAAUGGUUCUGAUCUGCAGGGAGGGGUGAGGGGGUGGGAAGCGAAUAGCUUCCCUCCAUCUCCUCUUAGGUCAGGCAGAUGACACGUGGCUGGGGGGGGGGGCCCUCCUCCAAGCAAGGAUCCUUACAUUAAUCCCAUGGAGACAGAACAGAAAUCUUCAUUCAUCAGAGCCCUGUUCGACCAGUUCCCACUCCUCCACUCUCAGAGGAGCGUGUGGGAGAGUUGAGAGAGCACUGGAUUAGGAGCCAAGACAGUCGCCAUCUUGUGCUGGCUCCACAACGAACAAGCAGGGUGAUCUCGGAUAAACCACAACCACCCGGGAGAAAGACACGUGUCCAGUCCACCUUUCAGCGUUGUUUUGAGGGACCCUUGCAAGUCCUUUGUGGAAGGAGAGGCAAAUGCUUCCUUUUCUGUCAUUUUUUUGGACGCUGUCUAGGGGUUGUAUGUUACAUUUUCUGGUAAUUCUCACCAUCAUCCCCCCUUACAACACCUGGGGAAUCCGAGAUGCAGAGAAGUCGAGUAACUCGCUCGGGUCUCACACCUGGAAGAUCCCAGCUCAGAUCCGGAUGACUUCAAGGUCAGAGUUUUUCAAGGACACUAAAUGGCCUCUUUGCCCUUCUCAAGUACCGCUUGACUGUGGUGUUAUUCUUACCUGUUAAUUCAGGCACAGGGACCCCAGUGGGGGCUAGCGGUGUGCCUUUCUGUCUGUGGACACCCAACUGACGACCGUGCGUAGUCCUGAGAUUGUGAGGGUGUAGACUGUGGAGUCAAAUAAGGACUUGACCGCCAGAGAAGGGAGCUGGAGCAAACUCAAGACUGUCUGAGACCAUUCAUCAUGCCUGGGUGAGCACAAUUUAAAUCUGGAAAUUUCUGCUCAGCUGGAUUAGAGAACUCUAAAUGGCAGUAUUUAACUGCUGCCUGAGGUCCCUGGAGUUUCUCCCAUGUGACAUUUCCAGAGCUGAGGGAGGGAGACGUCCUUUGCUUGCUCAGGAGGAGGCUCUGGAUUGGUCUUGUUCUGGAGAGGCUGGAUGCUUGGCAUCUUCCCCCCAGGAGCCACUCGGUAUAAGUUUUACUAUAGGCAGAGGGGACAAGUCAUCAUACAUACCAUUGCCUUCUGGAAAGCUGAGAAUGUGGACGUGCGUAGACCAGUCCUCCAAAGUGGUUUCUUUCCCCCUCACCAGCUCAUUUGGGUAAUUACCACAAUUCUUCACUUUACUUUGGCUGUGAAGACAGAGCUUUAAUGAACUCAGAACCCACCCAACCCCAACUCCAGGUUGAAGCAGCCGGGUGCUGGCUGUGGGAGAGGAAUACCAUAUCAGGCUGCUCAUGCUGCGUAACAUGCAUGUCAAAGCUGCUGGGGAGGUUGCAUUUGCAGCCGCAGGGAGAAGGAAGGGAGAGGCCCUCCACCGGCUAGGGGAACACGGUCGCUUUCUGCGGCGGCUCCCAAAGCCUUUAUUAAAAGCUUUGUUUUCCUCUCUUUGUCCUCUGGAAAUAAUGACCUCUGUGUGGCAACUUUUUGUAAUAUCUCAUUUCCAUGCCCCAAGCAGAUGGUUCUGCUGAUUUCAGAAGGCUUUAAUAGGGGGAUUUGGGGAGCCUGGGAGAUAUCUCGGGUGAAUAGACAUAAAGAAUGAUUUUGAGUUUCUAUAGCAAAGGGUUGGGGAUGAGUCUUAGAAGGUUCCGGGGCUUGGCUCAGUGUGGAGGCUUAUCUGCAAGCUCCUCGGAAUCCAGGAAGAAUGCCUCCAGAUCCUGACACCGACAGCCUCCCCUCCAUCAGAUCAUGCACACUGUGAUCGGGGCUGGAUAUGCAGCGUUCCUUUUCAGCUCUGCCACAAUAGAGCGGUGGCACCCUCACUGUCUCCAUGCCAGGCCAGCCCCUGGCAGUGCGGAGGGAAGGGAAGCAGCAUCUAAUGAGUGCCCUCUGCCUGCCAGUCAUUCUGUGAGCAUCCUUUCACUUCAUCAUGACAACAGUUGUAUGAGGUGGGUGCCUUUACACCCAUUUUGUAGAAGAUGAACCUGCAGCUAAACAGAAUAAAUGACCGAGCUGGGAUUUGAACCCAGCUCUGCCUGGAGCACAGCCAGGCCCUGUCAGCUACUACCCUGCACCCCAUGCCCCAGAGGGUACGAAGGUUCAAAGGCCCUCUGCUGACAUCUGCUUCCUUCCCGGCUCCUUCUUCAUGUGUGCAUCCAGAUGAGAUCAGGUUCAAAUGACUGUCAGAGUGGGGGGUGGGGGAGGGGAGCGGCAGGGGUGGCAAAGGGGAGAGGUCAGGAAAGGGUUGUCCCCUGCAGCCCAGGAGGGUAGAGCAGGCUCCACCUUUCCUGGGAAAGUAGGAGUGAGCUGGGCUGAUGGCAGGCGCUGGAAGCCACUGGCCUUAGGAGCCCACCCUUCUCCUCUCCCUCCUGGCUCCCACUCACAGCUCCUGUCUUGGUUCUGGCCAGAGUGGAGGCCAGAGGGCCAGCCCUUGAUUCCCGGCCUGGUAGCAUCUUUGAGACAGCUCUGGCCUCCGGCUGGCCCCCUCUCCUGGGCGUUUUCUGUUCAUUGUCGUAGGAGGAAAACGCAGCGCCCUGCUGUCAGUGUUAAACAGCAAACAAAACAGUGAACUGGGAGUGAAGUCCGUGUGGGCUUGUUCCAGACCUGCAUGUUUUCAAACGAGAUCCCAUUAGGGGCUGCGCUCGGUCGCCGUGCUGGGCCGUCUCCCCCGCUAGAAUCUGUUCCAGAACCAGCCCCAGUGAUGAGCACAUUGAUAUUAACGGCCUGCCUUGGCCAAAGCUUCCGGCCCAGCACGCUGGAUAGUUAGGCGGUUAUUCUGAGAACAUCCUUUUUAAAACACUCGACAGGACAAACAGGCCGAGAGGCUCCUUUGUCCACAGCCGGCCUCUGAAACCGAGCCGCCCCUCAGAGGGUUGAGAUCACACUCCAAGGAAGAAACCGGCGGCCCAGGAGGCGGAAACGUCUGAAAAUGGGGGUGGGGAAGAUGGUCAAUGAUGGCUCAUUCUGCAACUAACGGGUAUCACUUGCGCUUUGACCAAAGCAGAGCUUUUAAUUCCUAAAAUAUAACAGCCUGGUGCAGGAGCUCGAAGAAAAGGCAGCCUUCCAUGCGGAACUUUGCUGCAAAGUGCCCGGCUGCCGAAUGAAAGGUUUGGUUCCAGGAGGAUAUAGCCAGAUUCGCCUUCUGAACCGCACCUCCCUUUUCAUCUCCUGCUUCCCAUGGCUCUCGGCUGCUGGCUGCCUGCCGGGGGAAGGGGCCGAGGCUCCUGGCGGCCCUCUUGGAGCUGUGCUUGCUCCUGGGUGGGAGGGCUUGCUUUGCCCUGCAGAUGUCUUUCUGAAUCAUGGAUAUCAAUUGAAUAUCCGCGCUCUGCCUCCUCUAUUAUAUUCCCGUUUGCCUUGUUAUUGAAGAGCCACUGAGUCUUCACUGCUUUUCUUUCCAAGGCCUUUUCGUAAGGUGGAAAGGGAAGGUCAUUAGAUUCAGGUUGACCCAGGUUUCUAGUCCUGCUCUGCCGUUUGCAGCUGUGUGGCUUUGGACUAGUGACUGCACCUCUCUGGGCCCUGGUAAAAUGGGGAACCAAGCACCUGCCUCGUGGGGUUGUUUUGCAAAUUCAAGAAGCUCAGGCAACGCAUCGGCACAACAAUGCUAGUAGCUGAUGUCUGCUGAGCCCUUCACCAUCACCAGGCUCCGUUCUAAAUGCUUUACCGUGUAUCACUUGUUUGGUUUUCCCCAAACUCGUUGAGACAGGUGCUAUUGUUGGUCUCAUUUUACCAAAGAGGCAGUGAAGGCACAAAGAAGGCAAAUCACUCGUUAAGGGUUGUGGCAGAGGGAGCCUGAUUUUGAACCUCUGCAGUCGGGUUCCAGAACCCCAGCUUAUAAUUUUGAUUUAAAUAUGUACUAAAUAAACGGUAGCUUUUAUUUUCUUGCUUGUUAAUAUUUCCUAGCAAUUAAGUUUACGGUACUCAGUAUCCUCAUCUGCCAACAGUCACUGGCUUCACCAGACUCAAGCUCCCUCUAUGUGCAGCUAGAACGUCGCUCAUCGACUCAUCCAGUCCAGAAAUGUUGGAUUUUCCUCGGUGGGGCCCUCUCUGUUGGUUCGCUUUGUCCUCUGGGAACCUGUGAAUGUGGAUCUUGUGGAUGACAAAGACGUUAUUAAAAUCAUCGCUGUAUGUU